GAUGAAGAACGUAGCGAAAUGCGAUAAGUAAUGUGAAUUGCAGAAUUCAGUGAAUCAUCGAAUCUUUGAACGCACCUUGCGCCCCUUGGUUAUUCCAAAGGGCAUGCCUGUUUGAGUAUCAUGAACACCUCAACUCUUGUGGUUUCCCACAAUGAGCUUGGACUGUGGAGGUUUUGUUGGCCCUGUGGUCAGCUCCUCUCAAAUGGAUCAGCUUACCGGUGUUUGGUGGCAUUACGGGUGUGAUAACUAUCUACGCUCGUGGUCGUCUCCAAAUAACCUCCAGUGAUGGAGGUUCGCUGGAGCUCAUAAAUGUCUCUCCCCAGUGAAGACAGCCUUUGAACGUUCGAUCUCAAAUCAGGUAGGACUACCCGCUGAACUUAAGCAUAUCAAUAAGCGGAGGA
This 401-nucleotide unclassified non-coding RNA is filed under the name soil metagenome. RNAcentral's name for it is "partial contains 5.8S ribosomal RNA, internal transcribed spacer 2, and large subunit ribosomal RNA". The stretch from base 1 to 121 matches the Rfam family "5.8S ribosomal RNA", at positions 35 to 154 of the family's 154-position model. The record is from RNAcentral.